RNAcentral lists this ribosomal RNA (497 nucleotides) under uncultured bacterium. RNAcentral's name for it is "partial 16S ribosomal RNA". It matches the Rfam family "Bacterial small subunit ribosomal RNA", at positions 28 to 507 of the family's 1533-position model. The record is from RNAcentral.
GAUGAACGCUGGCGGCGUGCCUAAUACAUGCAAGUCGAGCGAACGGACGAGAAGCUUGCUUCUCUGAUGUUAGCGGCGGACGGGUGAGUAACACGUGGAUAACCUACCUAUAAGACUGGGAUAACUUCGGGAAACCGGAGCUAAUACCGGAUAAUAUUUUGAACCGCAUGGUUCAAAAGUGAAAGACGGUCUUGCUGUCACUUAUAGAUGGAUCCGCGCUGCAUUAGCUAGUUGGUAAGGUAACGGCUUACCAAGGCAACGAUGCAUAGCCGACGUGAGAGGGGGAUCGGCGACACUGGAACUGAGACACGGUCCAGACUCCUACGGGAGGCAGCAGUAGGGAAUCUUCCGCAAUGGGCGAAAGCCUGACGGAGCAACGCCGCGUGAGUGAUGAAGGUCUUCGGAUCGUAAAACUCUGUUAUUAGGGAAGAACAUAUGUGUAAGUAACUGUGCACAGCUUGACGGUACCUAAUCAGAAAGCCACGGCUAACUACGUG